GAGUUUGAUCCUGGCUCAGAAUGAACGCUGGCGGCAUGCCUAACACAUGCAAGUCGAACGAAGGCUUCGGCCUUAGUGGCGCACGGGUGCGUAACGCGUUGGGAAUCUUGCCCUCAGGUUCGGAAUAACAGCGAGAAAUUGCUGCUAAUACCGGAUGAUAUCGCGAGAUCAAAGAUUUAUCGCCUGAGGAUGAGCCCGCGUAGGAUUAGCUAGUUGGUGUGGUAAAGGCGCACCAAGGCGACGAUCCUUAGCUGGUCUGAGAGGAUGAUCAGCCACACUGGGACUGAGACACGGCCCAGACUCCUACGGGAGGCAGCAGUGGGAAUAUUGGACAAUGGGCGAAAGCCUGAUCCAGCAAUGCCGCGUGAGUGAUGAAGGCCUUAGGGUUGUAAAGCUCUUUUACCCGGGAUGAUAAUGACAGUACCGGGAGAAUAAGCUCCGGCUAACUCCGUGCCAGCAGCCGCGGUAAUACGGAGGGAGCUAGCGUUAUUCGGAAUUACUGGGCGUAAAGCGCACGUAGGCGGCUUUGUAAGUUAGAGGUGAAAGCCUGGAGCUCAACUCCAGAAUUGCCUUU
This 574-nucleotide ribosomal RNA is filed under the name uncultured bacterium. RNAcentral's name for it is "bacterial SSU rRNA". It matches the Rfam family "Bacterial small subunit ribosomal RNA", at positions 9 to 628 of the family's 1533-position model. The record is from RNAcentral.